Molecule: ribosomal RNA, 544 nt
Filed under: uncultured bacterium
Lineage: Bacteria
Description: partial 16S ribosomal RNA
Rfam family: Bacterial small subunit ribosomal RNA
Source: RNAcentral
UGGGGAAUAUUGCACAAUGGGCGAAAGCCUGAUGCAGCAACGCCGCGUGAGUGAUGAAGGCCUUCGGGUUGUAAAGCUCUGUCUUUUGGGACGAUAAUGACGGUACCAAAGGAGGAAGCCACGGCUAACUACGUGCCAGCAGCCGCGGUAAUACGUAGGUGGCAAGCGUUGUCCGGAUUUACUGGGCGUAAAGGAUGCGUAGGCGGAUUUUUAAGUGAGAUGUGAAAAUCCUAAGCUUAACUUGGGGACUGCAUUUCAUACUGGAAAUCUAGGGUGCGGGAGAGGAGAAUGGAAUUCCUAGUGUAGCGGUGAAAUGCGUAGAGAUUAGGAAGAACACCAGUGGCGAAGGCGAUUCUCUGGACCGUAACUGACGCUGAGGCAUGAAAGCGUGGGUAGCAAACAGGAUUAGAUACCCUGGUAGUCCACGCCGUAAACGAUGAGUACUAGGUGUAGGAGGUAUCGACCCCUUCUGUGCCGCAGUUAACACAAUAAGUACUCCGCCUGGGAAGUACGAUCGCAAGAUUAAAAACUUAAAGGAAUUGAC